GGGUCCGGACACACUGAGGAUUGACAGGCAAUAUUAAUACGUGUUUCGGCGCGUAUUAUGUUAAAUAUGCUAGUCCUUUCGUGAUUAUGUGAUAGGUGGUGCAUGGCCGUUCUUAGUUCGUGGAGUGAUCUGUCUGCUUAAUUGCGUUUCACUAAGAAUCUAUCAAUACGUGCGUUGCGGCACUUUGACCCCUCUCUGAGCGCGCGUCUUAGUUGCUUAGCUCGCACAAUUAGGUUCUGAAAGCAACGAACGUGACCGCAACCUCUUGUUGCCUUUAUACCAAACACGUUUACUGCUUUUGCAGUAUUCGUGCAAAAAGGCUUUUUAAACUAGAGGGACCGCUGUUACUUUCUUAAACCAGAGGAAGGUUGCGGCAAUAACAGGUCUGUGAUGCCCUUAGAUGUUCCGGGCUGCACACGUGCUACAAUGAUUGUUGCAGUGAGCAUCUCAUUUUUACACACCGCAUGCGCGAGUCCAUUUAUUCACUUCGGUGCUUUAAAUGUGUAUUUCUGCGCGCGGUAAAGCCUGCUUCGAGAGUAAGUGGGU
Molecule: ribosomal RNA, 546 nt
Filed under: Oridorsalis umbonatus
Lineage: Eukaryota; Foraminifera; Rotaliida; Alabaminidae
Description: bacterial SSU rRNA
Rfam family: Eukaryotic small subunit ribosomal RNA
Source: RNAcentral